Molecule: ribosomal RNA, 460 nt
Filed under: uncultured bacterium
Lineage: Bacteria
Description: partial 16S ribosomal RNA
Rfam family: Bacterial small subunit ribosomal RNA
Source: RNAcentral
CCUACGGGUGGCAGCAGUGAGGAAUAUUGGUCAAUGGCCGUAAGGCUGAACCAGCCAAGUCGCGUGAAGGAAGAAGGAUCUAUGGGUUGUAAACUUCUUUUAUCGGGGAAUAAAGGUAUCCACGUGUGGAUAUUUGCAUGUACCCUAUGAAUAAGCAUCGGCUAACUCCGUGCCAGCAGCCGGGGGAAUACCGAGGAUGCGAACGUUAUUCGGAUUUAUUGGGGUUAAAGGGUGCGGAGGUUGUUGUUUAAGUCAGCGGUGAAAGUUUGUGGCUUAACCAUAAAAUUGCCGUUGAAACUGGAAGACUUGAGUGUGUUUGAGGUAGGCGGAAUGCGUGGUGUAGCGGUGAAAUGCAUAGAUAUCACGCAGAACUCCGAUUGCGAAGGCAGCUUACUAAGCCAUAACUGACACUGAAGCACGAAAGCGUGGGGAUCAAACAGGAUUAGAUACCCUUGUAGUC